RNAcentral lists this transfer RNA (78 nucleotides) under Oleidesulfovibrio alaskensis. RNAcentral describes it as "Desulfovibrio alaskensis (biofilm metagenome) tRNA-Pro". It matches the Rfam family "tRNA". From Rfam's summary of the family: Transfer RNA (tRNA) molecules are approximately 80 nucleotides in length. Their secondary structure includes four short double-helical elements and three loops (D, anti-codon, and T loops). RNAcentral also lists the same sequence under 4 other names. Lineage: Bacteria; Pseudomonadati; Thermodesulfobacteriota; Desulfovibrionia; Desulfovibrionales; Desulfovibrionaceae. The record is from RNAcentral.
CGGGAUGUGGCUCAGUUUGGCUAGAGCGCAGCGUUCGGGACGCUGAGGCCGAAGGUUCGAAUCCUUUCAUCCCGACCA